GUACUCCGGGGAUAACAGGCUGAUACCGCCCAAGAGUUCAUAUCGACGGCGGUGUUUGGCACCUCGAUGUCGGCUCAUCACAUCCUGGGGCUGAAGUAGGUCCCAAGGGUAUGGCUGUUCGCCAUUUAAAGUGGUACGCGAGCUGGGUUUAGAACGUCGUGAGACAGUUCGGUCCCUAUCUGCCGUGGGCGCUGGAGAACUGAGGGGGGCUGCUCCUAGUACGAGAGGACCGGAGUGGACGCAUCACUGGUGUUCGGGUUGUCAUGCCAAUGGCACUGCCCGGUAGCUAAAUGCGGAAGAGAUAAGUGCUGAAAGCAUCUAAGCACGAAACUUGCCCCGAGAUGAGUUCUCCCUGACCCUUUAAGGGUCCUGAAGGAACGUUGAAGACGACGACGUUGAUAGGCCGGGUGUGUAAGCGCAGCGAUGCGUUGAGC
This 434-nucleotide ribosomal RNA is filed under the name Shigella flexneri. RNAcentral describes it as "partial 23S ribosomal RNA". It matches the Rfam family "Bacterial large subunit ribosomal RNA", at positions 2463 to 2891 of the family's 2925-position model. Lineage: Bacteria; Pseudomonadati; Pseudomonadota; Gammaproteobacteria; Enterobacterales; Enterobacteriaceae. The record is from RNAcentral.